UCUGGGUGCAGUGAUGCAUGCCUGUAGUCCCAGCUACUCAGGAGGCUGAGGUGGGAGGAUCACUUGAGCCCAGGAGUCCUGUGCUGUACUGCGCUGUGCCUAUUGGGUGUCCACACUAAGUUUGGCAUCAAUAUGGUGACCUCGCAGGAGCGCGGGACCAACAAGUUGCCUAAGGAGGUAUGAACCAGCCCAGGUUGGAAAUGGGGCAGGACAAAACUCCCGUGCUGAUCAGUGGUGGGAUCGUGCCUGUGAAUAGCCACUGCAUGCCAGGCUGGGCAACAGAGUGACACCCCAUCUCUA
RNAcentral lists this signal recognition particle RNA (300 nucleotides) under Callithrix jacchus (white-tufted-ear marmoset). RNAcentral's name for it is "Metazoan signal recognition particle RNA (ENSCJAG00000081442.1)". It matches the Rfam family "Metazoan signal recognition particle RNA". Rfam says of the family: The signal recognition particle (SRP) is a universally conserved ribonucleoprotein. It is involved in the co-translational targeting of proteins to membranes. The record is from Rfam by way of RNAcentral. Lineage: Eukaryota; Metazoa; Chordata; Mammalia; Primates; Cebidae.